GCCCGGUUAGCUCAGUCGGUAGAGCAUUCGGCUUUUACACGCGUAUCACCUGUGUGGCACCGAAAUGUCGGGGGUUCGAGCCCCCCAUUGGGCG
RNAcentral lists this transfer RNA (94 nucleotides) under Puccinia triticina 1-1 BBBD Race 1. RNAcentral's name for it is "Puccinia triticina tRNA PTTG_20029". It matches the Rfam family "tRNA". Rfam says of the family: Transfer RNA (tRNA) molecules are approximately 80 nucleotides in length. Lineage: Eukaryota; Fungi; Basidiomycota; Pucciniomycetes; Pucciniales; Pucciniaceae. The record is from Rfam by way of RNAcentral.